AUUUAUAUAGUUUACUUAAAACAUUACAUUUUCACUGUAAAAAUGAAUCUUAAAUUCUAUAAAUA
This is a transfer RNA of 65 nucleotides. It matches the Rfam family "tRNA". Rfam says of the family: Transfer RNA (tRNA) molecules are approximately 80 nucleotides in length.